Molecule: ribosomal RNA, 514 nt
Filed under: uncultured bacterium
Lineage: Bacteria
Description: partial 16S ribosomal RNA
Rfam family: Bacterial small subunit ribosomal RNA
Source: RNAcentral
GAUGAACGCUGGCGGCGUGCCUAAUACAUGCAAGUCGAGCGAACUGAUUAGAAGCUUGCUUCUAUGACGUUAGCGGCGGACGGGUGAGUAACACGUGGGCAACCUGCCUGUAAGACUGGGAUAACUUCGGGAAACCGAAGCUAAUACCGGAUAGGAUCCUCUCCUUCAUGGGAGAUGAUUGAAAGAUGGUUUCGGCUAUCAUGUACAGAUGGGCCCGCGGUGCAUUAGCUAGUUGGUGAGGUAACGGCUCACCAAGGCAACGAUGCAUAGCCGAGCUUCAACGGUGUUCGGCCACACUGGGACUGGGACACGGCCAAGACUCCUACCGGAGGGAGCAGUAGGGAAUCUUCCGCAAUGUACGAAAGUUUGACGGAGCAGAGCGGCGUGAGUGAUGAAGGCUUUCGGGUCGAAAAAAUCUGUUGUUAGUGAAGAAGAAGUACAAGAGUAACUGCUUGUACCUUGACGAUACCUAACCAGAAAGCCACGGCUAACUACGUGCCAGCCGCCGCCGUAA